Molecule: ribosomal RNA, 263 nt
Filed under: Parapanteles sp. Whitfield92
Lineage: Eukaryota; Metazoa; Arthropoda; Insecta; Hymenoptera; Braconidae
Description: partial 28S ribosomal RNA
Source: RNAcentral
GAUCGAUGAGGAGAUUCAUCGUCAGCGUAUUCAGUAUUGAUGCAGGCUAUGAUGUGAUAAUAGAAUCCUCGUGGUCACUANAUUAUACUUGCUUGUAUCAUUUUGGCUGGGUAUGUCGGCGUGCACUUCUCCUCUAGUAGAACGUCGCAACCCGUUGGAUGUUYAUCUAUGGCUCAAAUGGYAGCCUUUGAUAAUUUUUUUUAAGACAAUUGAGGGAAGAUGGGUUGCGUUACGAUGUAAUCCCGCAUUCCCGGGACGUUCAU